Molecule: ribosomal RNA, 374 nt
Filed under: uncultured organism
Description: partial 16S ribosomal RNA
Rfam family: Bacterial small subunit ribosomal RNA
Source: RNAcentral
GUAGGUGGCAAGCGUUGUCCGGAAUUAUUGGGCGUAAAGCGCGCGCAGGUGGUUCUUUAAGUCUGAUGUGAAAGCCCCCGGCUCAACCGGGGAAGGUCAUUGGAAACUGGGGAACUUGAGUGCAGGAGAGGAAAGUGGAAUUCCACGUGUAGCGGUGAAAUGCGUAGAUAUGUGGAGGAACACCAGUGGCGAAGGCGACUUUCUGGCCUGUAACUGACACUGAGGCGCGAAAGCGUGGGGAGCAAACAGGGAUUAGAUACCCUGGUAGUCCACGCCGUAAACGAUGAGUGCUAAGUGUUGGGGGGGUUUCCCGCCCCUCAGUGCUGCAGCUAACGCAUUAAGCACUCCGCCUGGGGAGUACGGUCGCAAGACUG